Non-coding RNA from Luteococcus japonicus LSP_Lj1, 31 nucleotides. The record is from Rfam. NCBI's taxonomy places the organism in Bacteria, Bacillati, Actinomycetota, Actinomycetes, Propionibacteriales, Propionibacteriaceae.
UUCACAUCGGCAGCAGUGAUUGCCAUGUCAG